RNAcentral lists this transfer RNA (75 nucleotides) under SAR202 cluster bacterium. RNAcentral describes it as "tRNA-Glu". It matches the Rfam family "tRNA". From Rfam's summary of the family: Transfer RNA (tRNA) molecules are approximately 80 nucleotides in length. Their secondary structure includes four short double-helical elements and three loops (D, anti-codon, and T loops). The record is from RNAcentral. Lineage: Bacteria; Bacillati; Chloroflexota; Dehalococcoidia.
GGCCCUGUGGUGUAACGGCUAGCAUCUCGCCGUCUCAAGGCGAAGACGCCGGUUCGAGUCCGGCCGGGGUUGCCA